RNAcentral lists this transfer RNA (32 nucleotides) under Actinobacillus minor 202. RNAcentral describes it as "partial tRNA-Asp". The record is from RNAcentral. Lineage: Bacteria; Pseudomonadati; Pseudomonadota; Gammaproteobacteria; Pasteurellales; Pasteurellaceae.
GGUCGCGGGUUCGAGUCCCGUCCGUUCCGCCA